CCUACGGGAGGCAGCAGUGGGGAAUNUUGGACAAUGGGCGAAAGCCUGAUCCAGCCAUGCCGCGUGUGUGAAGAAGGUCUUCGGAUUGUAAAGCACUUUAAGUUGGGAGGAAGGGCAGUAAGUUAAUACCUUGCUGUUUUGACGUUACCGACAGAAUAAGCACCGGCUAACUNCGUGCCAGCAGCCGCGGUAAU
Molecule: ribosomal RNA, 194 nt
Filed under: uncultured Pseudomonas sp.
Lineage: Bacteria; Pseudomonadati; Pseudomonadota; Gammaproteobacteria; Pseudomonadales; Pseudomonadaceae
Description: partial 16S ribosomal RNA
Rfam family: Bacterial small subunit ribosomal RNA
Source: RNAcentral